UGGGGAAUAUUGCACAAUGGAGGAAACUCUGAUGCAGCAACGCCGCGUGGAGGAUGACGCAUUUCGGUGUGUAAACUCCUUUUAUAGGGGAAGAUAAUGACGGUACCCUAUGAAUAAGCACCGGCUAACUCCGUGCCAGCAGCCGCGGUAAUACGGAGGGUGCAAGCGUUACUCGGAAUCACUGGGCGUAAAGGAUGCGUAGGCUGGAAAUCAAGUCGAAAGUGAAAUCCAACGGCUCAACCGUUGAACUGCUUUCGAAACUGAUUACCUAGAAUAUGGGAGAGGUAGAUGGAAUUAGUGGUGUAGGGGUAAAAUCCGUAGAUAUCACUAGGAAUACCGAUUGCGAAGGCGAUCUACUGGAACAUUAUUGACGCUGAGGCAUGAAAGCGUGGGGAGCAAACA
This 402-nucleotide ribosomal RNA is filed under the name uncultured prokaryote. Its description in RNAcentral is "bacterial SSU rRNA". It matches the Rfam family "Bacterial small subunit ribosomal RNA", at positions 355 to 774 of the family's 1533-position model. The record is from RNAcentral.